GACAGAGGGUGCAAACGUUGCUCGGAAUCACUGGGCGUAAAGGGCGUGUAGGCGGGCAUGUAAGUCGGGCGUGAAAUCCCUAGGCUCAACCUAGGAACUGCGCUCGAAACUGCGUGUCUUGAGUAUCGGAGAGGAAAGCGGAAUACCUGGUGUAGAGGUGAAAUUCGUAGAUAUCAGGUGGAACACCAGUGGCGAAGGCGGCUUUCUGGUCCUUAACUGACGCUGAGGCGCGAAAGCAUGGGGAGCGAACGGG
Molecule: ribosomal RNA, 253 nt
Filed under: uncultured bacterium
Lineage: Bacteria
Description: partial 16S ribosomal RNA
Rfam family: Bacterial small subunit ribosomal RNA
Source: RNAcentral